Long non-coding RNA from Homo sapiens (human), 807 nucleotides. Ensembl annotates it as TRIM52 antisense RNA 1 (head to head). Its record names the gene TRIM52-AS1. NCBI's taxonomy places the organism in Eukaryota, Metazoa, Chordata, Mammalia, Primates, Hominidae. The record is from Ensembl.
UAUGGUGUGCCGGGGGCCGCGCGGGCCGGGAGUUGGGUGGGCUGGGGGACAGGCGCGCCCGCGCCGCCCGCUCCAGCUGGGCUAGUGCUGCACAUUCCGGCCAGCCCCUCCUCAAGACCCCAUUCCCAAGCCCCUUCUCAGCUCCCUCGGGCCGGCAGAGCGGCUCUGAUCAGUAAAAUGCUGUUGAAGGCCCACGGGCAUGACUGCACCCCUCACUAAUUGGUCAUUGGUUUGGGGAGGACACCACUGUCCCAGUGGAACCUUGAGCACACCUUGGAGCCCUCCUCUUCCUCUCCGGACCUGUGCCAAACUGUGAGUGGCACAGAGCAAGGACUGUAUGUGUUCUCUUCUUUGUUGCAUACUCAGUUCCUUGACCACAGUGCCAAGCACACAGCGAGCACUCCCUGUGUAUCUGCUGAGUAAAUAAACGAAUGAACAAACCCAACACAUUUCAGCCAAGUCCUGCUGAUGUUUCUCCUCCGAUCUAGCUCCUCCUUUCCAGCCUUACUUCUGCCACUCCAGAUUUCACCCCCAUCAGCUUCAGACUGGAUAAAAGGAAACCAUUUCUCUAAAGGAUCACUUGCUCUCUCAUUUCAGGCCAUCCUGCAGCCACCAGAACCUUCCACAUGAAAUGAAAGGCUCACCACUUCAUAGGCUUUAAGGAAAUUCUUGGCCAGGUGUGGUGCCUCACUCAUGUAAUCCCAGUGCUUUAAGAGGCCAAGAUGGGAGGAUUGUUUGAGCCAGCUGUUUGAGACCAGCCUGGGCAACGUCAUGAGACCCCAUCUCCACAAAAAAAAAAAAAAAGAA